RNAcentral lists this ribosomal RNA (370 nucleotides) under Clostridioides difficile. RNAcentral's name for it is "bacterial LSU rRNA". It matches the Rfam family "Bacterial large subunit ribosomal RNA", at positions 2185 to 2553 of the family's 2925-position model. Lineage: Bacteria; Bacillati; Bacillota; Clostridia; Peptostreptococcales; Peptostreptococcaceae. The record is from RNAcentral.
GCCAUCCUUGGGAUACCACCCUUGUAGUACUGGGACUCUAACCAUAGGCCAUGAAUCUGGUCUUGGGACACUGUCAGGUGGGCAGUUUGACUGGGGCGGUCGCCUCCCAAAAGGUAACGGAGGCGCUCAAAGGUUCUCUCAGUACGGUCGGAAAUCGUACGUAGAGUGUAAAGGCAAAAGAGAGCUUGAUUGCAAGACAUACAGGUCGAGCAAGGAUGAAAAUCGGACUUAGUGAUCCGGUGGUUCUGCGUGGAAGGGCCAUCGCUCAACGGAUAAAAGCUACCCUGGGGAUAACAGGCUUAUCUCCCCCAAGAGUCCACAUCGACGGGGAGGUUUGGCCCCUCGAUGUCGGCUCAUCACAUCCUGGGGC